GACGAACGCUGGCGGCGUGCUUAACACAUGCAAGUCGAACGGAAAGGCCCUGCUUUUGUGGGGUGCUCGAGUGGCGAACGGGUGAGUAACACGUGAGUAACCUGCCCUUGACUUUGGGAUAACUUCAGGAAACUGGGGGUAAUACCGGAUAGGAGCUCAUGCUGCAUGGUGGGGGUUGGAAAGUUUCGGCGGUGGGGGAUGGACUCGCGGCUUAUCAGCUUGUUGGUGGGGUAGUGGCUUACCAAGGCUUUGACGGGUAGCCGGCCUGAGAGGGUGACCGGCCACAUUGGGACUGAGAUACGGCCCAGACUCCUACGGGAGGCAGCAGUGGGGAAUAUUGCACAAUGGGCCGAAGCCUGAUGCAGCAACGCCGCGUGCGCGAAGACGGCCUUCGGGUCGGAAACCGCUUUCGCCUGUGACGAAGCGUGAGUGACGGUAAUGGGUAAAGAAGCACCGGCUAACUACGU
Molecule: ribosomal RNA, 467 nt
Filed under: uncultured bacterium
Lineage: Bacteria
Description: partial 16S ribosomal RNA
Rfam family: Bacterial small subunit ribosomal RNA
Source: RNAcentral